GAGCACAUUUCAUUGUCCCAUUCUUUUAUUGUAAGAACUGAGAUAUUUCUUAUGUGCUAGAUAAACCCUGGAGGUAAAUUAGCAGUUUGGCUAUAUUGUGCCACAACUGCCAGUCCCCUUCAUACAUGA
This is a small nucleolar RNA of Paramisgurnus dabryanus, 129 nucleotides long. The record is from RefSeq and is a predicted model, not a curated record. NCBI's taxonomy places the organism in Eukaryota, Metazoa, Chordata, Actinopteri, Cypriniformes, Cobitidae.